AAUGCAAUUGCAUUCUCAACUGAGUGUCAUAGUUCAUUUUAGUAUGGAAUGAUAAAUCCACUAAACAAGUUCCUGUGGCAUCCUGGUGUGGUGUUGUGGUAAACAGGCGACCUAAUCGGAUGCCUAUAAAACCGUGACGAUCAUCAUUGAUCGUGUCAGUUGUCUUCUAAUCACCAUUUCUAUUCCACAUAGUAUCGAAUACUCUGCCCCAGGUUUUUUUUAAGUAAUCAUGAAGUUUGCAGUGCUUCUUCUUAUUAGUGCGGUUUUCCUCGUAUCUGUUGCACAAGGUAGUAACGAUGGAGGCGAGGAAGGGCACGGGUCCAGCUUGGGGCUCGCAGCUGUGGUGUCUAACAAAGACUCCGGAUUUGCAGAGCCUAAUCUAGAUCUGGAUGAUAUGGAGGGUGCUGAAAGUCGCUGGAAAUCCCAUAAAAAGUGGAGCGGUCGGCGAGGAGGAAGACAUUAUGGUUGGGGCAAAUGAGCAGUGCAAGAGAAUUGUGAUACAUUUAUAAUUCGAAUGUCUCUUUUGGCGAACAUCAUGCUGAAAACAAUGUUGUAAAUAGUGUGACCUAAAAACUAUGCGAGAUGUUUUACUAUCAAAUUUGCUUCUUUAUUGAUUGUUAAUAAAACAAAUAAAUUUACUUUUUCA
Long non-coding RNA from Topomyia yanbarensis, 646 nucleotides. RefSeq lists it as uncharacterized. The record is from RefSeq and is a predicted model, not a curated record. The transcript has 2 exons. NCBI's taxonomy places the organism in Eukaryota, Metazoa, Arthropoda, Insecta, Diptera, Culicidae.